GCUUUCCAGUAUUGCUAGUUUCAAUUACUAUAAAUGGCUGAGCAAGCGCUUGUGAAAGCACAUCUUCAAGAUGAUGUCGUUUACGAUAAUUCUUGGGGUGGUUGCUGGGACGGCAGUGGCCAUGCCGACGAAAGGGGUAGAGUGUUUGAGAGAGGGCAGGUACCCAACUCCAAAUACAUGUGAUGGUUUUUUCGACUGCAUACCUGAUGGUACUGGGGGCUAUGAAGUGUCUUUUGAUGACUGUAAUGGAUUUGUCUACAAUACCACCUCCAGGACGUGCAACGGUGAAAUGCAAUGUCGCUCCCGAAGUGAGCGCAGUGUUACUACAGCAUAUCCCAAGUACUCCUACUUGUGUGAAGGUCAGCCUGAUGGCUUCGUGUGUGCUGACUGCAGGACCAUGGUCAUGUGUGUAAAAGGGCAGGCCUUUGUCCGCCAGUGCACCAGCACAAGAUCCUGCAGUAUAAGACUACUAUGGAGGUGCAGUAUGCACCAGGGCUCAGCUGAAUGUACCUGCCAGAGUGGAGACGCGUUUGUCCGUGAUCUCUAUGACCCACAGAAGUUCUUUAGCUGCUCCUCCACUGGAUCCAGCCCUGAGGAUCACGUGUGCCCUGAUGGUAUGGUGUUGAUGAGACCCUUAAUCAGUGUCGCAACCAAGCCAGCCUUCCAGCUUGUGAACGGCUGGUGUCUUGCAAAGCUCGAAGACUGCACUGAAUAUUACUCUUGCAUCUCGCUUCAACAUGGGUGGCUGCAGAGACUGUUCAUGUGCCCCAGUGGAACGCUGUUCAACGAGGUAAACAGGAGCUUGUGAAGAUCCUUGCUCACGGACAAUGGUGUGCUAUGAGGAAGGCAGGUUCCCAGAUCCCCUCGACCGCCGCAGCUACUAUGAAUGCCUGAUUAUUGGUGGCCUAAUGAAGCGUGCCCGCUACCAGUGCCCCCAUGGUUAUGUGUGGAAAGCUGAUGAUGCUGGUGAGGGGGAGCAUGUGUGGAAAGACAUGAAAUGAAUUUGCAUAUGACUACUUCACCGCUGUAGCAUUCCCAGGCAUGUGUCCUGACGAGACUACAGAUGUUGAUGAAUGUGCCGUGGCCAACGGCGGCUGUUCUGCAAUGGCUAGCUGCACGAAUACUGACGGCAGCAGCCGAGACUGUACUUGUGCAUCAGGUUACACUGGGGAUGGCUUUACUUGCUCUGAUAUCGAUGAGUGCCUUGUUAACAAUGGAGGCUGUGAUGCAAAUGCAGGGUGUCAAAACACAGCUGGUUCAAGAACCUGCACAUGUCUCCCAGGCUUCUCUGGGAAUGGUGUUACUUGCUCUGAUGUGGACGAGUGUUUGGUUGCCAACGGUGGUUGUUGGAUGCAAAUGCCCUGUGUAGCAAUACUCCAGGCAGCCGUGACUGCACCUGCACAUCAGGGUUCACUGGGAAUGGCCUAGUUUGCACAGACGUGGACGAGUGUCUGGUAGCUAAUGGAGGGUGCCAUGCAAAUGCAGACUGUACAAUGAUGUUGGUGGCAGAAACUUGCACCUGUCAUCCUGGUUACACGGUGAUGGACUUCAAUGUACUGAUGUGGACGAGUGCUUGGUUGCCAACGGUGGUUGUGAUGCAAAUGCCCUGUGUAGCAAUACUCCAGGCAGCCGUGACUGCACCUGCACAUCAGGGUUCACUGGGAAUGGCCUAGCUUGCACAGAUGUGGACGAGUGUCUGGUGGCUAAUGGUGGGUGCCAUGCUAAUGCUCAGUGCACCAAUACUGCUGGUAGCAGAACCUGCUCUUGCCUUGCUGGCUAUACUGGUGAUGGACAAGUGUGCACACUCCUCCAGGUAGGUGCCUAGUUCUGCACUCCAACCUUACUACUUGAAUGUCUAGUGUCCUGAAGGAUUCUACCGAAUUAAAAGUGAUAAAUAAUACUUGCUUACUACUCUCAGUGUCCUGUGGCUUUGCUGGUCCAAGGUCAAGACUGUGCUCCAGACUAUGACCUUGAUGGCUUCCAGACACUGAACUGAGCUGUUCGAGCAAAUACUGCCGUAAGGAUAACUGUGUCAACCGACCAAAUUCUGGGCAAGAGGAUGCCGAUGGUGACGGGAUUGGUGAUGCUUGUGAUACUGAUGCUGAUGGAGAUGGACUUCUCGAUACUUCGGAUAACUGUCCCACUAAUAGCCAACCCUGGGCAACAAGAUGGAGACUCGGAUACACAUGGAGAUGUAUGUGACAACGCCUGUAGUCUCCAAACCCCAGCCAGAAUGAUGUGAUGGGAUGGUACAGGCGACAAAUGCGACGAUGAUAUUGACAAUGAUGGCUUGCUAAAUACUGCUGACAACUGUCCAAAGACUGCAAAUGGCAACCAAGCUGAUGGUGAUGGAGAUGGCUUUGGAGACUUGUGUGACAAUUGCCCCCAGCAUACCAAUCCUGGGCAAGAAGAUGCAGAUGAAGAUCUACUAGGGGAUGCAUGUGAUGAUAACAUCGACUCUGACAGUGAUGGUGUGGAGGACAGUGUGGACAAUUGUCCAAAUGUAGCCAUUGGUGACCAGCAGGACGUAGAUGGUGAUGGGUUAGGUGAUGCCUGUGAUUCAGACAGUGACAACGAUGGUAUUGAUGAUACAACUGACAACUGCUUGCUAAUCCCAAAUUCGGACCAGAAGGAUACCGACGGGAAUGGCCGUGGCGAUGCUUGCACCUCUGACUUUGAUGGUGACAAAAUUGUAGACUCGGAUGAUAACUGCAUUGCCAACCCAAAUGUGCAUGCCACCGAUUUCAGGCAACUCCAAAUGGUGGCACUAGACCCACAAACGGCGUCUACUCCUCCAGUAUGGAUUGUCUACGACAAUGGUGCAGAAAUUCACCAGACGUUGAACUCGGACCCAGCUAUAGCAGUGGGUGACCAUACUCUUGUGGAUGUCGACUUUGAAGGGACCUUCUUCAUAGAGGACACCAGUGAUGAUGACUUUGUUGGCUUUAUCUUCAGCUACCAAAGCAAUUCCAAGUUCUAUGUCAUGAUGUGGAAGAAGGGACCACAAAGCUGGUUUGGCCAAGCAGAGAGAGGAGUUACUCUGAAGCUAAUUGACUCUACUACAGGCCCUGGCACAGCACUUCGGGAUGCUUUGUGGCUCACUGGCUCUACAACAAACCAGGCAACCUUGCUCUGGCAUGAUAGCAGCAUUGGAUGGACCCCUAAAGUUGCCUACCGCUGGCUGCUUCACCACCGGCCUGAUAUUGGUACCAUGAGGUUCUACUGUACCAGGGUAACAACCAAGUCAUUGACUCUGGAAACAUAUAUGACAGCACCUAAAAGGAGGCAGGCUAGGUCUCUUUGCUUCUCCCAGAAGCAAAUUAUAUGGUCAAUGUGAAGUAUUCUUGUUCAGAUGAUGUACCCCAAGACAUGUUUAAUGACCUGCCCCACUAACCUACAGACGCAAGU
This is an RNA transcript of Penaeus monodon (black tiger shrimp), 3408 nucleotides long. It is a transcript of the gene named cartilage oligomeric matrix protein-like, with no coding region annotated. The transcript is spliced from 19 exons. The record is from RefSeq and is a predicted model, not a curated record. Lineage: Eukaryota; Metazoa; Arthropoda; Malacostraca; Decapoda; Penaeidae.